This is a long non-coding RNA of Lineus longissimus, 2344 nucleotides long. RefSeq lists it as uncharacterized. The record is from RefSeq and is a predicted model, not a curated record. NCBI's taxonomy places the organism in Eukaryota, Metazoa, Nemertea, Pilidiophora, Heteronemertea, Lineidae. The transcript is spliced from 3 exons.
CAGCAGCAGCAGCACACUAGCUGCCAACUUUGGCGACGAGAAGCGUUCGGCUGACGCCUCUAUACGCCAAAGUUGGCGGCCAGUGGAUCCCGGUCAGAGCACACCUGCCCAGAACUGGCGUCCAGUAGUGUCUUUUCCGCCACUUUAGGCUGCCAUUUUGAAAUCAUGUGACAUCAAGACGCAAGCUGAUUGGCCAUAGCCUCGCCGCCGACGCCAAGUCAGGCGGCCAUCCGUAGCACACCUGGCUUCUUCUUGCGUUCAAACGCGGCGACAAGCGUAAAAAAUCAAACAUAUUAGAUAUCUGGCGUUAAGUUGCGGCAAGUGGCGUCAAGUCGUGUUCGCCGACGCCGUUCGUAGCAGACUAGGGAUUUUUCAGGCGUUCAGGACUCUUCCGGCAAAAAACGCCUGUGAACGCCGAAGUUGGCGGCUAGUGUGCUGCGGGCUGAAGUCCGUGAUAAGUAUAGGCGGAAUGGUUAAACUAACUACUGCAAGAUUAAAAGCAUAGACGUAUUAAAUGGUGAAACUUGUUACUUCAAGAUCGACUUUUGUUCACGUUUUUUGAUUCAAAAUCUGAACCCAUCUUUCGUUGGAUCGAAAUCAGAACUUAUCUUUUGUUAUCGUUUCAGAGUCUUCAAGAUGAGGCAAGGUUUGAACUAGCAAGGUCAACCAAUUAGAUUUCUGAUAACUUUGGAGAGGGACAUGUAGAUAUUACUAGGACUACCUCCCUAUCACUGGCAGUUCCAUGGGAUGACUUUUUUGAAUAGAAGCACCAAACUUCUAUGGAAUCUCCUCCCUCCGCCACAAAUGUACAAAUAAAAAUUGAUUCCGUUAUUGAUAAACAUGAAUUGAAAAAAGAAGCUCCGAAAGGCUAGAACAAUAGCCUGAGCAAGAGCAGAUGUCGGCUUGAAAAGACUGUUUAAUGAUCGGACGAUUCUAUGUGGAGCAACCGUGAUUAUGAAAGCAAAGCUAAUAAGCAAAAGCAUGUGUGUGAUGAGCCGAGUGUCUGCCACGACAUCUUUUUGGCGUUCAUUUUUGUUUCCAGUACCGCUCAGUUUAGCCCGUUUGUUGGACGAACGCUUCAAUGCUUUGAUAAUCAACGAAUUGAUAACUAGCAGAGAUGAAAUAGGUAUCACAGCAUUUACAAUAAAAUCACUCCAUCGAAUGACAUUGACCCAGUACGAAGAACCAAAUGCAUGCUGGGUGCAGAUACAACUCUUCAAGACAGGAUCACAGACGUAUGACUGCGUUAGUAUGAAAUGGAAAUUGAACAGGACGCAGAAUGUGCACAUGCAAAAGACAGUCCACUUCGCACGCCGGCUAGAGCAGAAGUCAAUAGCUUUUAAAGGCCACUGGACUGCAAUCAAUCUAUCCGUAGACAUUGACACGAUAAUCCAGCUCGAACACGCUGUGGCCGCAUUGUUGACGAAGCUCAACCAACAAUUCUUCCCUUUCGCGCCAAUCCCGGUGAUCGCAGGCGCUAUGAAAGCGAUUGUAUCGACAACUGACAGCGCACACAUAUAUACGCCAGUGGACGACGAUCUAUUUGUUUUCUGAAUCAUCACCAGGAAGAGUAAGACAUUCCCAGGUCCGCAUCUAUGACCGGUAUCUCCCAGAUGCCGACAUCGUCGACUACAUCAAAAAGGUGGGCAUGAGGAGAGAGCAACAUGUGAAGGCCUUGGUCGCCCAUUACGACAUGGACGUCAACACGAAUAGAAAGUAAUAACACGCCGAGAUGAUCCUCUAUCAUCUUGCGAUAAAAAAGUUCAAAAUCCUUUUUUACGAGAUUUGUUCGAAAACGGUUUUUACUAUAUCCCUUGCCUUUCCUAUUCCAGACACGGUAUUAUUAGACAAAAGCGAAUUCAAGAUCGACGGACGCAUCCACGGAACCCCGAGAUUCGUCUCCAGUCUUCAAGAUGAGGCAAGGUUUGAACUAGCAAGGCCAACCAAUUAGAUUUCUGAAAACUUUGGAGAGGGACAUGUAGAUAUUACUAGGACUACCUCCCUAUCACUGGCAGUUCCAUGGGAUGACUUUUUUGAAUAGAAGUGCCAAACUUCUAUGGAAUCUCCUCCCUCCGCCGCAAAUGUACAAAUAAAAAUUGACUCCGUUAUUGACAAACAUGAAUUGAAAACAGAACCUCCGAAAGGCUAGAACAAUAGCCUGAGCAAGAGCAGAUGUCGGCUUGAAAAGACUGUUUAAUGAUCGGACGAUUCUAUGUGGAGCAACCGUGAUUAUGAAAGCAAAGCUAAUAAGCAAAAGCAUGUGUGUGAUGAGCCGAGUGUCUGCCACGACAUCUUUUUGGCGUUUCUCCUUUUCAUUUUUGUUUCCAGUACCGCUCAGUUCAGC